GACUUAGUAAUUGUUAUCCCUUAAAAGAACAAGGAUAAAUCAUCUUGAUAACAUAAAUGAAGAUAAAAAGUGAAGUUGAUAUACAUACAUACACAUAUAUAUAUAUACACACACACUUUUGUUGGGACUAUUGGUGUCUGAGAUGGGUACACAUCUUUAUGUCUAACUUAUCAACUUUCUAAAUAGAAAAUAUAGGAUACAAAUCUAAAUUUAGGCUUAGGUGGUUGGAUAUGUUAUUUUAUAUAAAAUAAAAAUAAAAAUAAAAUAUAAAAUUAUAAAAUAACAAUUACUAUAUGUAUAAAUAAUCAAAUACAACCAAAUGCAUCAUCCAAACUACAAUACAAUAACUAUUUUCCAUCUAAGUGCACGCUCUUCAUUUUGAGAGAAAAGAAUGCUAUAUUAACUAUGCAUGAAUAUGUCACUCAAGUGUCCAAAUGCAUGGAUAUGUGUCAGGCACAUAUUCCAUGUUAUAUCCCAAGACAUAUAGCAUGGCAAAAUGAAGAGCGAGAAUAUUAGACAAUAUAUAUAUACUCAUGACAUUUAUGUCAAAGAUGAAAUAAUACAUGAAACAUGAAAUUAUACCAAAUAUGAGAUUGAGAACAUAGGAAAAUGGAGUUCAGCCAAGCAAUUUGCAAUGCUAGAGGCUAAACAUGAAACAUAAGCUCGGAAAAUGACGUGUGCCAUAUCACCAAGAACAUUAGAAUUCCUUUCUAAAAAAAAGCAACUAUAGCAUACUACAGAACUAUGACUUUCUUUCCACUGAAUUACUGACCAGUUGAUUCACUGAACCUUUUUGGCAUGCUAAUACAAAAGGAAUGACAAGCCAAUAAAAAUGUGUAAAAAGCUAAGCAAGAGGGGGGAGGGCAUAGAGAAAGAGGGAGCUCACCUGCAACAAAAUGUUGCUACUAAUCUAGUUUAGUAUCAACUGACCAAAAAAAAAUUGCUAACCAAACAAAAACCUUUAGUUUUAAAAAACCUCAAAUUUCCAAAUGGAAUCAGCCAAAUAAAAGGUCAAAUAUUAGGAAAUCAACUGGGGGGAAGAGAGAGAUACAUGCGAAAGAUGGUUGAAAAGAAUCCAAGGUGUUUUAUCGCAAUUGUCCCCCUUCAGUGAAAUUUCAAGGGGGAACAAAUUUGCAAUAUAGUUUUGAGAAAAGCACAUAUGAAAUAACAAAUGUUAGGAGCCUUCAAGACCCAAGCUACAGGCCCUUCAGCAAUUAUCAAGAAACUAUGUUCAUUGAUAAGUUUAGAUGCUAUUAAUUAUUUUUUUAAUUAUGAUUAUUACCAUUAAACAUAAUUACUAUCCAAUAUGCAGUUUUAAUAAAAAUAUCUAUCAUGCAACAUGCAUAACUAAAUUUAAUAUUAUUUACAUUUAAUUGUCAUGUUCCCCAUAUCUAGACGCAGCAUGCAGAAGUUACAAGUCGAUCAUUCAACAAUUUGCAGGAGCUGCCCAACAAUAUACAUCUACAAAUAAGUGAUUUGGAUUAAGCAGCAUAACUAUUAAACUCUAAUAGCAAUUGGAAUGACAUAGGGAGUGUUGGCUUGGUGGGGUAAAAAUUCUUUUACUGAGGACGGUAAAUCUCUCUAACCUUUCUAAAGUGUGUCAGAAUGCCAAUUGUGCAUUUCUUAGAGCACAUCACAGUAGUUUCUGCUCUAAAUCAAAGUCCUCUUUCUUGAUACAAAUAUUGUUAAUGCAAUUAAUUUGGAAUUACCCUUUUCACUUCCAUUCCAUCUAUUUUGAUUCUCCUCAAUGAUGGAGAUACUGCUGCUCUCUAACUUGCACUUGACAUUGGAGAUUGCCCUUUCCUUCCUGCUCACACCCUCUCUACUUCUUCCUCAUGCAUCACUCAUGCAACACUUCCUCCUCUGGAAAAAGCCCUCAUCUAUAAUAUAUAUAACUAGACACUGGUUACUGGAACCAUGGCAAAUAAAAAUCAGAGAGUAACCAUGUUUCUCAUCACCUUAAAAAAUUUGCCCUCUUUCUCUAUGCAAUUACACCAACUCAAGCCUGCUUAGAUUAGACAUUCUGACAUUACAACACCUUCAAGGAACACCCCCCACCCAAGUCCUCCAACAUUUUAUUGUUUGUCUCCUAUAUCAACUCACAUUAAUUAUUGCUCGUCUCCUAUAAUUAAUGUUUCCUUUCAUCUCUUAACUUAUAACAACAAAAUACACAGAGUCACACUCCUUAUGAAGAAUUGGUACAUCUCAAAUAACUGAUAGUCAUGAUGCCUAGUACCUCUUUGGACAAGGGCCAGCAUAUACCCAAAAAAGGAGAAAACUAAAGGCUAUAAUUAAUGAGUAAUUAGCAACAACCUAAUGCAAUUGAUAAUGGAGCUAUAAUUAAUGAGUAAUUAGCAACAACCUAAUGCAAUUGAUAAUGGAGUUUUGACAUUUCAGUCUUAUCUCACACAAAAUGUGAACCCAUAAAAAGAUGUCUUCUCUUCCUCAAAUUAGUAAGUGGCAAAUGCAACUUUGGACUGCUGUCCAUGCAAAGCAAUGAACAAAGUCUUCUCAUACUCUGUGUGCAUGCAUGGCAUGCACAUGCAGCAUUUUCUCAAAAAGAAUGGGUCACGUAGAAUAAAGAUACCAAUGUCACUUUGUAGGUAACUCCUUCAAUUUCAAAUUUUUUCUAUUAAUCCACAUCCUCUAUAAGUCCAAAAAAUUGGAUUUGAAUACAAUUUAUUGAUUUUCAUUUUACACGUUGCUUUGUUAAUAUCUAAAACUAAUAGAUUGCUUGUUCAAAAUUCUUUCUUGGAAUUGUUAGAUCUUAUUGCUCUCAACAUUUUACUGGAUGAUGCACAAAACUUUCUUCAUGUUGCAAGCCUAAUUAUUAGUUUAAAGAAUCUGGUGGUUUUAAUAAAAGAUACAGCAUCAAACAAAUAAAUUGGCUACCAGUUUCUGGUGGAAUUAUUUGGAAAAGUUCAUGUCCAUUUCCUCAGGGAUUAUUUAUAAAAUAUCAACAAAAAGGUAAUCACUUAAACACUGUUAUUACCAGAAAAGUAAAGUACAGCUCCAUUCAGUGUUUUAGCUAGAUGAUCCAAAAUUUGUGCAUCAUUGUACUUAAGCAACAACCAGACCAGAAAACAGUAUAAUAUAGACCAAUUCACUCCCAGCAAAGAAUAAUAACUUAAGAACAAUCACCACUACCAAAAUGAACUAAAAUGUGAUUAGGUGUUGUAAGUUUGUAACUAGAUGAUUCUAAGUUUAAUUUAUGCAUCGUUGUAGCAACUAGCAAGAACCAGACCCAAAACCAUUAUUGUAAAGACCAAUCCACUACACUUGGAAAAACACUGUAGCAUUAUCUCAAACAGAUCGAAGCCAUUGUGGACAGUCAUACUAGUCAUACUCAAGAGUGAACUAAUAUCACAUAUGAACAUAACAGCAUAUAACAAGAAAACUAUUAAUCAGGGGAAUAAAGUAUGACCUGCACAGAAGCUAGCAGGUACUAUCGUUAUGACCCAAAUGACAAAAGUUUGCACAAUUAGCAUUGCAUUAGUCAGUAGGAAGGCUAAAAUUUGGCAGGUAAUGAGAAAGCAAUAUUUGUAGGUUGACAAUUCCAAAGCACUCCUUAUGUAUAAUCAAAGAAGUCAAUGGACCAAAAAAGCCACGAUGAGAAUGAAAAUGAUGAAGAGAUACAGGAUCAGAUGACUUGCAAGUUACGACCAAGGUAACUAAGUUGGCAGACAUUCACUGAGUAGGUCAAUGAGGUCGAGAUGGCUGACUUCACCAAGUCGACCCGACAUUGCUUGACCUAUAUAAGAGAGCUUGUAUUUACUAUUUAAACAUAGUUAUCAAAGGCAUGCUGAGAGAUUCUAGACAUAGGAAUAGACAAGAGUCUGAGUGACACAAGGAUCGAAAAAGUUUAUUAAAAAAUCAAUAUUAAUUCCACAACAUUUUUAAGAAAUUAUUAAUCUUUAGAGAAAAGAAAUUAUGUUAUCCAAACAAAUUGAGAAAAAAAGAAGUAACAAUUUCC
This 3973-nucleotide long non-coding RNA is filed under the name Manihot esculenta (cassava). RNAcentral describes it as "long non-coding RNA (MESC_LNC010073)". Lineage: Eukaryota; Viridiplantae; Streptophyta; Magnoliopsida; Malpighiales; Euphorbiaceae. The record is from RNAcentral.